Molecule: ribosomal RNA, 142 nt
Filed under: Enterobacter cloacae
Lineage: Bacteria; Pseudomonadati; Pseudomonadota; Gammaproteobacteria; Enterobacterales; Enterobacteriaceae
Description: partial 23S ribosomal RNA
Rfam family: Bacterial large subunit ribosomal RNA (bases 1-125)
Source: RNAcentral
AAGUUCUCCCUGCAACUUGAAGUCUGCUGAAGGAACGUUGAAGACGACGACGUUGAUAGGCCGGGUGUGUAAGCGCAGCGAUGCGUUGAGCUAACCGGUACUAAUGAACCGUGAGGCUUAACCUUACAACGCCGAAGCUGUU